This 422-nucleotide ribosomal RNA is filed under the name uncultured bacterium. Its description in RNAcentral is "partial 16S ribosomal RNA". It matches the Rfam family "Bacterial small subunit ribosomal RNA", at positions 360 to 774 of the family's 1533-position model. The record is from RNAcentral.
AAUUUCGGACCAUGGGGGAAACCCUGAUCCAUCCAUCCCGGGCGUUUGAAGAAUGCCUUCGGGUUGUAUGGUACUCUUGGCAGUGACCAAAAGGUAUCUCCUAAUACGAGAUACUCCUGACGGUAUCUGCAGAUAAAGCUCAUGCUACCUACUUCCGAGCAGCCGCGGUAAUACGCAGGAUGCAAGCGUUAAUCGGAAUUACUGGGCGUAAAGCGUGGGUAGGCGGUUCGGAAAGAAAGAUGUGAAAUCCCAGGGCUCAACCUUGGAACUGCAUUUUUAACUGCCGAGCUAGAGUAUGUCAGAGGGUGGUAGAAUUACACGUGUAGAAGUGAAAUGCGUAGAUAUGUGGAGGAAUACCGAUGGCGAAGGCAGCCCCAUGGGAUAAUACUGACACUGAGGUGCGAAAGCAUGGGGAGCAAACA